GAGGGCUAUUACAGACCUUGCAGUGUCCUGGGAUUUGCCUGGUGUGACAUCAGAAAACAGAAGAUGGCUGCUUGACAAACUGCUCAUUCAUGCAGUCCUUGAAAGAACCUCCAAGCAAGUAAAGCAGCUUCGGCGGGGUUUGAAGGAAACAUUGAUCCGGCCUUUGCUAACUGAGAGGAAAGACACUGUUCCUCUUCUCUUUCCUAGGACUUGUGAUACAGUGUACACCCCACUGAUGGUUCUAGAGAGGAUACUUUGGCCAACACAUGAUGAAGACUGCGAGGCCUCUCUUGAAGACACAUGUAGGCUAACCGGAUUCCUUCGCACCUUCAUUG
This is a long non-coding RNA of Rhinichthys klamathensis goyatoka, 335 nucleotides long. RefSeq lists it as uncharacterized. The record is from RefSeq and is a predicted model, not a curated record. Lineage: Eukaryota; Metazoa; Chordata; Actinopteri; Cypriniformes; Leuciscidae. The transcript has 3 exons.